CAUCAUUGGAUUCUCCGGACUGUGAGCUAGCAUGAGUGCAGGUGAUCUGGCUUCAGGGGAAAUAGCAACUGUCUAGGAGCGCAAUUCACCCUGAGCCCGGUGUGGCUCCGAAAAGCCCCCACCUGUGACCAGUUAAUUCCUAUGUGGCCAGAACACGAGGAUGUAUCCCAGGAAGGCUUGGGGCUGAGGCUGCGUCUUCCCCCAUGCGCAGCAUUUUCGGCGUCUGUGCAGCAGCCUGAGUCUUCAGGGUCUGUCCACGGGUUAGGUAUGACUGGGCAGCACCCACUAAGCAGGGUUUCUGGGUCAGCAUUUCCUGCAGUGCGCGGUGGCCACCAUCAGACCGCUUGUGGCACUGUUGUUCUAAGGGAACUUGGGGCCUGCCUGACAAUCUUGAUUUCUGGCUGCCUCCUACCUCCUGCAGCCCUAUAAAGGCUUCAGAAAUCCUGUGAAUUCUGGCUUCAGGGGAAUCAGCAACUCUGUCCUGGAAUGUGAUGGAUGCAGACAGCUGAUGUGUCCCCAGAAGUCCCAACUUGUGGUGGUUUGUCCCUACAUGUCAGGACCUAUGACCCUUCCUGAAGAGCCUGGAAGCAGAGCGACACAGCACACACCUGUGGAGGGCACUCCGCUCACCUAACCUCAGCCACCAGGACCUCCAGCUCUGCCUGGAGAUGGGCUGCCCUCACCCAGCUAGCCAUCUUCCUGGGCCAGGGGUUCCACGGACUGGACUGCAUGCCAGGUACAGAGUGAAGGUUGUUGAGCUAGAUGACAUCUCCCAGGUGUGUCUCCCAGGUGUGUCUCAUCAGUGAGCUCUAUGCGCUCCCCCGCCCCCCACCCGGUUCCCUCCCAGGCCGAGGAGGAGGCUACGGAGUUCCUGUGAGGUUUGGCUUCAGGGGAAUUAGCAACUCGGGUUUGGAGCGGGAAAGGACCUUGGCUGUCCAAUUUGUCCCCUAGAAGUCUUCGCCUGUGCCCGGCCUAUCAGUGAUCCAGACUGGGAGACUGAUCCCAGGAACCUGGAUGCUGAGUCAUCAAGAUGAUUCUUAAGAGACUUCAUGGGGGCUUCCCUGGUGGCUCAGAGGUUAAAGCGUCUGCCUCCAAUGCGGGAGACCCGGGUUUGAUUGAUCCCUGGGUUGGGAAGAUCCCCUGGAGAAGGAAACGGCAACCCACUGCAGUAUUCUUGCCUGGAGACUCCCAUGGAUGGAGGAGCCUGGUGGGCUACAGUCCACGGGUUGCAAAGAGUUGGACACAACUGAGUAACUUCACUCACUCACUCAAGAGACUUCAUUAAUCUGCUAUUUUGCAGAAUAGUCCUAACUGCCUUUGUAGAUACUAAUUCUUUUUUGCUUCCUGAAUUAAAUUUCACUUUGGUUAGCAUAAUGUCACAUUUAUCAAAAUCUUAUUACCUAAAUGAAUGCUUAAAAUGACUUAAUGAUUUUAAAAUUCUGCCCUUAAUUAAUUUUCAAUGUCUUCCUGGAGGAACCAUCCAAAAAUGGCAAUACUGUUUCAUCUUUUCUAGUUGAUGGAUUUUAGUCAUAUUAUUGCAUAAUUUUUAAAUUUUCUAAAUUUUAGUUAAAUAAAAAUUAUACUUUGAAUAGCAUGCAAAUUUGGUACUCACAAAUAUGAAUUUCCUAAAUGACAGUCAUGAAUAUAUUUAUGUGUAUUAUUUCAGUGAUUCUGUUAAUAAACUUGAAAACUUCUGCACAGAAACCUGUAGAAUUAAAUUUAAACUUUAUCUCUGUUUCUUUUAUUUCAAGGAAUUUGAUUCUAUCAUAUAUUUGUUUGCUGAGCUUUUAUGAAAAACAGAUAUGAACUGGUUAACAAUCCAGACUGACAAAGUUAACUUCUAAUUAGACAUUUAUGUAUACUUUUUAUAUCAGUAGGUACAUAUUUAUACAUUAGAAAUAGCAUUCAUUUCUAAAGCUAAUUAAAACUGCAUAUUGAAAUCUUA
Bubalus bubalis (water buffalo) is the source of this 1945-nucleotide long non-coding RNA. RefSeq lists it as uncharacterized. Lineage: Eukaryota; Metazoa; Chordata; Mammalia; Artiodactyla; Bovidae. The record is from RefSeq and is a predicted model, not a curated record. The transcript has 2 exons.